GUAGUCAUAUGCUUGUCUCAAAGAUUAAGCCAUGCAUGUCUAAGUUCAAACAAAAAUAAACUGUAACCGUGAAUGGGUCUCUACAUCUCUUAUGGUUCCUUAUAUCGGACUUACUACUUGGAGAACUGUGGUGAUUCUUCAGCUAAUACAUGCGGUGAGCCCCAACCCUCGUGGAAGGGGGGCUUUUUUUAUAUCUAAGCCAAUCAAGUUUCCGCUCGUUUCAUUGGGGACUCUGAAUAAUUUUGCCAAUCGCAGGGCCUCUGACCGGCAACCUACCUUUCAAGUGUCGGCCUUAUCAAUUUUCAAUGGUAGGUUAUGCCCCUACCAGGGAGGCAACGGGUAACGGGAAAU
RNAcentral lists this ribosomal RNA (351 nucleotides) under uncultured fungus. RNAcentral's name for it is "bacterial SSU rRNA". It matches the Rfam family "Eukaryotic small subunit ribosomal RNA", at positions 20 to 370 of the family's 1831-position model. The record is from RNAcentral. Lineage: Eukaryota; Fungi.